GACAGAGGUGCCGAGCGUUAGGCGGAAUCACUGGGCUUAAAGCGUGUGUAGGUGGAUGCCUAAGUACCUUGUGAAAUCCCACGGCUUAACCGUGGAACUGCUUGGUAUACUGGGUGUCUUGAGCCAGCUAGGGGCUACCGGAACAAAUGGUGGAGCGGUGAAAUGCGUAGAUAUCAUUUGGAACGCCAAUGGUGAAAACAGGUAGCUGGGGCUGUGCUGACACUGAGACACGAAGGCCAGGGGAGCGAACGGG
Molecule: ribosomal RNA, 253 nt
Filed under: uncultured bacterium
Lineage: Bacteria
Description: partial 16S ribosomal RNA
Rfam family: Bacterial small subunit ribosomal RNA
Source: RNAcentral